Molecule: RNA transcript, 1954 nt
Organism: Tribolium castaneum (red flour beetle)
Lineage: Eukaryota; Metazoa; Arthropoda; Insecta; Coleoptera; Tenebrionidae
Gene name: trypsin alpha-3
Exons: 11
Source: RefSeq, a predicted model, not a curated record
AACUUUUUCCAAAACAAAUGGGGCAUCAUAAUCAAUGCACCAUUACAGGGAAAAGCUUUAAAAAUGAAUGUGGUGUAGAUAUCGAUAAGAUAGAAAAAUACUACUUAGUCAUAGUUUAGUAAAUCAUCAUGCUUUUCGUGACGGCGCUCGUAUUUCUACUUGUCUUUGGAAAUGUAACUUGCGACACUAAAAUAAUCGGCGGAUCUGAGGUGAAAAAUCGAUCAGAAUUUGCUUAUCAGGCUUUGCUGCUCUACAAAGACGCACCUUAUUGUGCUGGAACAAUAAUCGACGAGAAACACGUUUUAACAGCUGCUCAUUGCUGUAAUCCUGAGAAGAACCUAAUAGUUGAACCAUCAGAUGUGACAGUUGUUGUAGGAAAUUUGGAUUUGUAUGACAAAUCUUGCGUCAAAAAAGUCCAACACAUUUUCAUUCAUCAAGAGUUUGAUUUAGCGUCAAUAACGAACGACAUCGCUGUGAUACGACUUGUAGAUAAUCUUGAAUUUUCGGAAGAUAUCCAAGCUAUUAACUUAACAACAGAUUACCUGAGUUCCGGUAAUUGUAACGUAUCGGGAUGGGGAACCACAUAUAUCGGGGCGAAUUCUAUGAACUCGAAGUUACUUUACGCCAAUGUGCCUAUAGUUGAGUGGAACUCAUGCCAACGAAUCCUUAAAUUAUUUCAAGUCGAGUUAGGAAAAAACGAAAUUUGUGCAGGGGGAAAUACAAAGGAUGCAUGCCAAGGCGACUCGGGAGGACCUCUAGUGUGUUCAGGUCAAUUGACUGGCAUUGUUUCGUAUGGCAUAUCUUGCGGGAUUGAAUUCAUCCCUGGAGUUUACACAGAAGUUGCCAAAUACACCAAGUGGAUCCAGGAACAAAAAACCAGAUCCUCAAGCCCAAAAAUUGAACUAACUUUUUGUCUGUUUGUGAUGUUAUUUGUUAAUUUGUGGCAAUAAAGUGUCGAUAAAUUUUUUGUUAUUGCAGUAACUCAUGUAGUCAUUGAAACAGUGCAAUUUAGUUUUUAACGAUUUAUUGAUUUAUUGAUUAUAAAGAAGCGAACUGAUAAGAUUUUUGGAUCUAUAUUAACUCACAAACGAGUCAAUACAGCCAAAUCAUAAUGUUGCUCCUAACGCUUCUAUUUUGUAGUGUUUUUUCCUUGAGCACGCAAAAAGAUGUUAAAAUUGUUGGAGGGACUGAAGUCAAAGACAGGUCUAAAUUUGCUUAUCAGGCACUUCUUCUGUAUAAUGGUAGUCCAUACUGUGGUGGGACCAUAAUUGACAAGAAAUACAUUUUAACAGCGGGGCAUUGUUGUUAUUCCAGGGACCAACAAAUGUUACCUUCUGCCCUUUCGGUGGUUGUUGGUAAUUUGAACUUAACCGAUCGAGAAAUCGUCAAAAGUGUGAAAGCGAUUUACGUUCACGAAGAAUUCGAUAUGGACACUCUCGAUAAUGAUUUGGCCAUAUUUGAGCUGACCGAGCCUUUUGAAAAUUGGACAAGCACUGUAUCACCAAUUAAAUUAAAUAAAGAACAUGUGACGAGUGGUAACUGUAUUGCAUCAGGCUGGGGAACCACAUUUUCUGGUUCUAAUAAAAUGAGCUCCAAGCUGCUAUAUGUGAGUGUUCCUAUAAUUGACUGGACGGCGUGUUAUGAAUUUUACGGUGCUUAUAACGUGGAAGUGAAUAAUAAGUCGAUUUGUGCUGGGGCUCUUGCUAAGGACUCUUGCCAGGGCGAUUCCGGGGGCCCUUUUGUCUGCGAAAGCAAACUAACGGGCGUGGUUUCGUAUGGCAUAGGGUGCGGUUUUGAGAAUUUGCCCGGAGUUUACGUCGAAGUGGCGAAAUAUUCCAGUUGGCUGGAAAAUUACACAACACCGUCAUCUUCGUCUUCAUUCAGUUUAGCGACUUCUUGUCUUGUGAUAUUUGUUGUAACAAUAAUUUUGUAAAUACAGUUUUUUUAUGUUUUA